Molecule: transfer RNA, 85 nt
Filed under: Buchnera aphidicola (Therioaphis trifolii)
Lineage: Bacteria; Pseudomonadati; Pseudomonadota; Gammaproteobacteria; Enterobacterales; Erwiniaceae
Rfam family: tRNA
About the family: Transfer RNA (tRNA) molecules are approximately 80 nucleotides in length. Their secondary structure includes four short double-helical elements and three loops (D, anti-codon, and T loops).
Source: Rfam by way of RNAcentral
ACGGGAGUGGCGAAAUAGGUAGACGCACCAGAUUUAGGAUCUGACGCCUUUUAGAGGUUUGCGAGUUCAAAUCUCGCCUCCCGUA